UUUUUUAAAAUUUGAUUGUACCUAUAGUCCUGUUCAAUUGUUUAGACCCUAAGUCUUUUGCAAAUGUUUAAACGUUUAAAUCCUAUUCAGUACUUGUUUUCUUUACAUACGCGUGAAAACAACCCCAAAUUCCGACAUAUUUCAUAUACAGUUCAUCAUCUAAAAUGCACGAAGUUGACUUAUUUCCAUUUUACAAAAAUCUCUGUAUGUUUUGAAUGCAGGUUCUUUUUCCUAUAACUAAGGCUAUAGUGUAUUUCAAACUAAUGUUCUUUUCCACCUUCCUAUGGGAAUAUAUUGUAGUAUGACCUAUAUUUAAGAAACAAUUUCGAAACAUAAGUCAAUAAACAAUCCAGGCGCGGAUUCAGGCGGGGAGUCCAGAUGACACAUCCCCCUCUAUUUUUGUCAAACAGAAUACCCAAAAAACUUAUCCAAUCCACCUUUUCAAAAGCAACAACGGGUUUUGGGUCCCCGCUUUUAAAAACACUUCUGGAUCCGCGCCUGCUAUUUCAUUAAUGUAAUAUACUGAUACAAAAAUAAAUACGUUUGUGUGGGGAUAAAACACUAUAAAGUAACUACAAGAUAGCUUGAUACAUUAUGACUGUCAGGUUGUAUGUCCAUGAAUAAUAUAUAAUAUUUAUUAUUUACUAAUGCACGUGGGUUUGGGGUGAGGUCUUAAUCUCGUGAUGUUCAUUGUGACAUAUUGCAUACACACGUGGCCAGAAUAUUUAUUACAUGUUUAAUGGUGUCAGAGAAGUUUGUAGGUGUGACAGAGUUCAAACCAAGUGACAGUUCUUUCCUUACCGUGGCCGGUUUUGGGUUAUAGAAGACACACUGUAGAUAAACCAUUUGAUUUUGAUGGUCAUCUUACAUGAUACAAGGAAUAACUGAGACCAUUUCAGACGUUAUGUACAUGUUUGCAUAUUAAUUAGUUAUCGGGCAUAUUAAUGAGAUUUGGAUCAGUGUUUUACUUAUUAAAGGUACCCUACUAAUGUCACAAAGGCCUUCACGCGCUAUGACUGUCUCUGUCGUGCGAUAUAAGUGGUCACACAUUCGUGAAAUUUUCACCUGCUUUACUUCGAACGCGUAUACUUUCAUUGGCGAUUGGAUAGGCAAGCAAUAGAAAAUCGCACUAAGGGCUAUCGAAAAUAUACUCACGAAAUACAAGGUUUAGUUCAGUGCACGCUCAGUGUAUUUGUGAAACAACAUGCGCGAUCAUUAUCGUGUAGGAUAGCUUCGCUGAACGAAUGUGUAUCCAGAUCCCCAAUUUUACUUUGGAAAUAACUCGUCUUAUGCAAGAGUCAGACUACCAGCUAUCACGACGGGGUUGGCCAAUUCACCGAUCUCUCGACUUUUACGACUGUCCAGUUGCUAGUCUGAGUGUUUACUCCUACGAUCGAUUAGUUGUUAAUCUGAGCGCACCCGUCGUAAGUUGGAACUUGGCCAACUUCGCCGUGACAGUUGGUAGCAUUACUUAUAGCUCUGUUUCUACAACGUACAACGAAUUAAUUGUACCAUAUUUAUACAGAAACAUCAAAAUAGUUUAAAUAUGCAUUUGUAUAAACUGAAAUCAGUUUAUUUCUGUCAUCUUUUAAUGUUAAUGGCCUCUCGUGUGUUGAUUUGUCUGUCAUAUUUACUUGUAAAUUGGUUUAUUACUAUAACAUAUUUUUUCAAUGUUAAUAAAACGGCAUUAAGAAACAGUUAUUUAAUGUUUUUCUUAAACAUUUGUAGUGAGUCAAAUAUAAUUUUAAAAUUUGUUCUUGGUGUUUUUCGUUUUAGUUAAUAAUAACAAGCAGGACUUUUUCUUAAUUAAUAAUUAAAAAGAAGGUAUUGUCCUCAUGAACUUUAUUAUUAUCAUCACAGUCAUCUUCUAUUUAUUUUACAGCAUGCGUACAAAUAAAUGAGAAACUAGCAAGAGAGCAUACGUGUACUAUAAAUAUAUAUUUCAAGUAUCCUUUACGUUUGAAAAACGUAAAACAGUGCUAUUCUAGGAUGUAUCAAUUCCACUAAGUGUAAAAUAAGGGAACAUAACCAGGACAAUAGUAACAUGGUUUAUUUCAAAUUUUCGUGCUUAUAUCCAAUUAAGAUGUCCUGGCACACAUCUCAGCUAUCUGGGUUGUCUGUCAGCCCUCAAGAACUCGCUCUGGGAUGGAGCUGGUACUGGGCUACGAACCCUGUACGUACCAGCCUAUAGUCCGAUGGCUUGACCACUACGCAACCGAGGCUGUUGAUAGUAAUAUGAACAAUACUUUUGAUGUUAAGAAGCAUACUAUUGGUAGUGAUCAUACACUUCAUCACGCUAUGCUGUUUCUCAAUGUGUACGGAUCUAUCGAUCCUUUUGUGUUGUCAAUGGAUCCGUACGCGUAUUUAAAACAAAAAUUCUUGAUAGUGGUAACAGGAUGGAAACAUAUUACAAUUAUUCUCCAACUUUAAAUUUUCAUAGCCUAAUUGUUCAAGAUUAAGCUUGCAUUUUGCCAUUCUUAGUUACCUAAGUAAAUAAUUUCUGCAUAUCAACAAUAAAUUUAAGAUGUCUAGAUAGUUGAUUUGUAUGUUUUUGAUGUGUUGAAAUGUUAAUAUUAAAAAUUAUGCCGAGAUACGUCUUCAGACGACUCGUGUUAUGAGAUAAAUAUUACCUAACGGUCAGCCACGUAGUAUUCUCUAUUCCCCAAUAGUAACGGGCAUAAUUUAUUGUAAUACGUGUUUACAACUAUACAUUGCAUUAAUUUGAAUGAGCCCCAUUUUCAUGCACAAAUGUGUCAUUAUUAUGCUGAGGGACCGUUCAUGUCUUCCAUUAGUGAUACUAGAGACGGUGUCGAGAUUUCAUCAAUAUUCCAGUGCUAUUGUGGCGGCUAUCAUCCCCCUAUUGUUUGUGAUUUGUCGGUAGAUACCUAAAGCAACGGUCUCCUGUAGGUUUGUAUUGUAUGUCUUUAAACGUGCGUGUCUUAUUAUUAAUGGUGCUGUAGUGUUUAAUCUGGCUCAGGAUAAAGUGCUUAAAUGUGUCGAUUAAUAGCAUCUAGUAAUUGUGCCAACAGUCUUGAAAUACCUGUAAGAAACAACACUUAGAUUAUAUUAAUUGUUGAUGAACUACGGGUGUUUUUGUUUUUUGGACAAGCAUUAAAACAUGGUUAGAAAUAAAAAAAAGACUUGUGCAAAAUC
This is a long non-coding RNA of Gigantopelta aegis, 3153 nucleotides long. RefSeq lists it as uncharacterized. The record is from RefSeq and is a predicted model, not a curated record. The transcript has 2 exons. Lineage: Eukaryota; Metazoa; Mollusca; Gastropoda; Neomphalida; Peltospiridae.